Non-coding RNA from Biomphalaria pfeifferi, 771 nucleotides. NCBI's taxonomy places the organism in Eukaryota, Metazoa, Mollusca, Gastropoda, Planorbidae. The record is from the annotation of a GenBank genome assembly.
GUAAACGUAACUUAAAAAAUAUUUUUUUUUUUAAAACUCGUGACAUAACGUUGUAUUUAUGUUUGUUACCAAUAGUCGAAAAAAAAACCCCACUAAAUAUGAUAUGUAAAGAAGGAUAGAUAGUAAUCCGCUUAAUAAAAAUAGACAAAUAUUGUAAUAAUUGCAGUACAUUUCAUUCUAAAAGCUGUGACUAUUCUUGUGACAUGAAAUGUAAAACAUAAAGCGAUUAUUCUUCCAACUGGUAACACUUUCAGUAAACAUCCUCUUGUAAAUAAAGACAAAAUGGGAAAUGGAUAAGUUAACAGACUAAAGUAAACUCACGUGGGUCUUCGUAGUGCCGUGUACAUAGCGUGUGGUAAGGAAGAAAGAAAGAACUCUCUAACCAUUGUCCAAUCGAAACAAAUAGUUAUAGAAGGCCUGAACACUGACCAGGUUGGGAAGUUUAGACCAAUCGUUCGUUUCUAGUUAAGCUGAAUUCUUUAGAAUAUCUAACGCUAACAGACAAAUUUGCUCAUACAUAAGGUGUUUUAUGUUGUAUUUUACGUAAGAUAGAAUGUCUAGGCAUUCUAUAGAAUGUGGGAUGUUGCACUUUGUCGGUAAUAUUUAAACAGAGAGAGAGCAAGAGAGAGGGAGAGAGGGAGAUACAUUCUUACUCUUUUGUUAAUAUUGGUUGUUCUUCUUCAUCUUACUAGUGAUCUAACUUUAAAGUGAGAAUUUUAUCUAUAAAAUAACAAAGUCCCCGAAAUAUUUGAAUAGUCACUUGAAACAUAC